RNAcentral lists this ribosomal RNA (253 nucleotides) under uncultured bacterium. RNAcentral describes it as "partial 16S ribosomal RNA". It matches the Rfam family "Bacterial small subunit ribosomal RNA", at positions 524 to 776 of the family's 1533-position model. The record is from RNAcentral.
UACGUAGGGUGCAAGCGUUGUCCGGAAUUAUUGGGCGUAAAGGGCUCGUAGGCGGUCCAUCGCGUCGGGAGUGAAAAGCUGGGGCUUAACCCCAGUCCUGCUUCCGAUACGGGUGGACUAGAGGUAGGUAGGGGAGAUCGGAAUUCCUGGUGUAGCGGUGAAAUGCGCAGAUAUCAGGAGGAACACCAAUAGCGAAGGCAGCUCGCUGGGACGUUACUGACGCUGAGACGCGAAAGCGUGGGGAGCAAACAGG